UACGAAGGGGGCUAGCGUUGCUCGGAAUUACUGGGCGUAAAGCGCACGUAGGCGGCUUCUUAAGUCGGUGGUGAAAUCCUGGAGCUCAACUCCAGAACUGCCUUCGAUACUGGGAAGCUUGAGUCCGGGAGAGGUGAGUGGAACUGCGAGUGUAGAGGUGAAAUUCGUAGAUAUUCGCAAGAACACCAGUGGCGAAGGCGGCUCACUGGCCCGGUACUGACGCUGAGGUGCGAAAGCGUGGGGAGCAAACAGG
This 253-nucleotide ribosomal RNA is filed under the name uncultured bacterium. Its description in RNAcentral is "partial 16S ribosomal RNA". It matches the Rfam family "Bacterial small subunit ribosomal RNA", at positions 524 to 776 of the family's 1533-position model. The record is from RNAcentral.